RNAcentral lists this ribosomal RNA (253 nucleotides) under uncultured bacterium. Its description in RNAcentral is "partial 16S ribosomal RNA". It matches the Rfam family "Bacterial small subunit ribosomal RNA", at positions 524 to 776 of the family's 1533-position model. The record is from RNAcentral.
UACGUAGGGUGCUAGCGUUGUCCGGAAUUAUUGGGCGUAAAGCGCUUGUAGGCGGCACGUCAAGUCGCGUGUGAAAUCCCCAGGCUUAACCUGGGAAGUGCGCGCGAAACUGACGAGCUUGAGUGCCGGAGAGGGUCGCGGAAUUCCCGGUGUAGAGGUGAAAUUCGUAGAUAUCGGGAGGAACACCAGUGGCGAAGGCGGCGACCUGGACGGACACUGACGCUGAGACGCGAAAGCGUGGGGAGCAAACAGG